RNAcentral lists this small nuclear RNA (153 nucleotides) under Zalophus californianus (California sea lion). Its description in RNAcentral is "U4 spliceosomal RNA (ENSZCAG00015021984.1)". The stretch from base 1 to 80 matches the Rfam family "U4 spliceosomal RNA". From Rfam's summary of the family: U4 small nuclear RNA (U4 snRNA) is a component of the major U2-dependent spliceosome. The structure of U4 snRNA from yeast and human has been reported. Lineage: Eukaryota; Metazoa; Chordata; Mammalia; Carnivora; Otariidae. The record is from RNAcentral.
AGCUUUGCGCAGUGGCAGUAUCAUAGCCAAUGAGGUUUAUCCGAGGCGCAAUUAUUGCUAAUCAAAAACUGACAGCUACUUUUAUAGCAGCAAUUGUGAAGGUCUGAGGGAAAAAAAUGGCAUAUUAAGAGCACAAGAAAAAUAAAUAUCAGA